This 434-nucleotide ribosomal RNA is filed under the name Streptococcus gallolyticus. RNAcentral's name for it is "bacterial SSU rRNA". It matches the Rfam family "Bacterial small subunit ribosomal RNA", at positions 1 to 428 of the family's 1533-position model. Lineage: Bacteria; Bacillati; Bacillota; Bacilli; Lactobacillales; Streptococcaceae. The record is from RNAcentral.
AACGAGAGUUUGAUCCUGGCUCAGGACGAACGCUGGCGGCGUGCCUAAUACAUGCAAGUAGAACGCUUUUUACUUUAGCUUGCUAGAGUAGAAGGAGUUGCGAACGGGUGAGUAACGCGUAGGUAACCUACCUACUAGCGGGGGAUAACUAUUGGAAACGAUAGCUAAUACCGCAUAAGAGUUUUUAACACAUGUUAGAAGCUUGAAAGAUGCAAAUGCAUCACUAGUAGAUGGACCUGCGUUGUAUUAGCUAGUUGGUGGGGUAAAGGCCUACCAAGGCGACGAUACAUAGCCGACCUGAGAGGGUGAACGGCCACACUGGGACUGAGACACGGCCCAGACUCCUACGGGAGGCAGCAGUAGGGAAUCUUCGGCAAUGGGGGCAACCCUGACCGAGCAACGCCGCGUGAGUGAAGAAGGUUUUCGGAUCGUAA